Molecule: ribosomal RNA, 390 nt
Filed under: Bacillus paranthracis
Lineage: Bacteria; Bacillati; Bacillota; Bacilli; Caryophanales; Bacillaceae
Description: bacterial SSU rRNA
Rfam family: Bacterial small subunit ribosomal RNA
Source: RNAcentral
UUUAUUGGAGAGUUUGAUCCUGGCUCAGGAUGAACGCUGGCGGCGUGCCUAAUACAUGCAAGUCGAGCGAAUGGAUUAAGAGCUUGCUCUUAUGAAGUUAGCGGCGGACGGGUGAGUAACACGUGGGUAACCUGCCCAUAAGACUGGGAUAACUCCGGGAAACCGGGGCUAAUACCGGAUAACAUUUUGAACCGCAUGGUUCGAAAUUGAAAGGCGGCUUCGGCUGUCACUUAUGGAUGGACCCGCGUCGCAUUAGCUAGUUGGUGAGGUAACGGCUCACCAAGGCAACGAUGCGUAGCCGACCUGAGAGGGUGAUCGGCCACACUGGGACUGAGACACGGCCCAGACUCCUACGGGAGGCAGCAGUAGGGAAUCUUCCGCAAUGGACGA